CGAUGUAUCUACUUUUUUUGAACAGUGUGUGCGUGCCUCUAUUCUAUUUUUGAGAGUCUUCAGUCCGUUUACGUAAUAUUAGUUGUGCUUUUCAUUCUCUUGGUGACAGAUAGGGCGCUAACGGAGUGUAGUGAGGUAAUUGCUGUAAGAAGUGAGUGUUAGUUCAUACUAUCUAUGUGAGUUCAAUGAUUUGCAACGUUUCGCAAGAGCAAGCGCGGAGAGUCGAGUCACCCUUAGCAUCCCGAACUAUAAGCAGAAGCAAAGGAAAGAAUCCGUUCAUAUGCAGUUGAAAGAUAAUAAACAGUAUAAUUAGCAGGAGCAGGAGCCAGAUUAGGAACUAGACAGAUCCAUGUUAUCAAGAAGAAAUGCAUUGCUAGGAUUUUGAUGAGUUGAAAUAAGUCUUUCCUAUUACACGGGUAGUGGAAGCCCUUUAGCGCUACUUGCCCAGUUGCUUGG
This 456-nucleotide long non-coding RNA is filed under the name Musa acuminata (dwarf banana). Its description in RNAcentral is "long non-coding RNA (MACU_LNC008100)". The record is from RNAcentral. Lineage: Eukaryota; Viridiplantae; Streptophyta; Magnoliopsida; Zingiberales; Musaceae.